UAUUUUAUUUAAUUUCCAAUGUCAGAAAUAUUAAGUUAAACUCUAAAGUGUAUUAUUGUGCGGUACAUAAUAUUUGAUGUUGGCCAGUGAUUUAAUUAGAUGCGUGCGUCAACAAUAUGAAUAUUCAUGAAUAUGAGUAAUAGACACGAAAUUUUAAUAAAAUUUCAUGACUCAUUAAUAUUAUACUCACUGGUACACAAAAUAGUUGACAAGCUUAAUUAAUUAUCGAGUAGAAAGAGCUACAAUAUUAUUCUCUAAUUUAAUUUAUAAAAUAUUAAAACAUUGUAGUUGAGAAAAGAUUUGAGAAAACACGAGGUGUUAUAUUGUGCGGGUCCGAUAUUUAGAUUGAACACGAGAGUUUUGUUUAUACAAGAAUAUAGUAGUCUCGGAUAUCUAUUUAUAUACUGACCGGUGAAUAAUCUACAUUCUAGUCGAAAUAAUUUAUUUAUAUAUAUUUGGAAUUUAUCAGAAAUAUUAAAAUAAAUAAUAGUUGAUUUAUUUAUUCUUUUUGUAAAAUAUUUAAAUAUUUAAAUAUUUGUCGGACAAAAACCGAAACGAGAAUAAACGAGCCAAGCCGUGGAAUAUUUUUAACGUAGCGGGACUUGAGCCCAAGUUUCGAAACUUGGAGCCCGAGGCUACUGAGUAACGCCCAAGAAAAAUUGUGUAGCCUCCAAGUAAACAAAUAAAUUAAAAGUGAUUAGUGGAGUAUUAGCAAGUGCUAAAGUAUGAUUAAAUACUAAUGGUAAUUAGUAAAUGUUGUAUAAAUAGCAAGGAAAUUAGUCAGUACUUCUUUUAUCAAAACAAAAGCAAUACGGAGGUAUUGGCGAUUUGACCAGAAGAGAAUCAAAUCUGCAAAAUCUAUUUUAAGAAUAUUUAUUGCCUGGAAAGGCGAAGCCUGAUUAUACGUGAUAAAUUGGAAUAUUAUCAAGCUAAGGAUGUCAGUAAAUAGUGAAUAUGGCACAACUCAAGAGAACCGCCCGGAAAUGGGUUUUUGGCAAAGGCAGGGAAAAGGCGCAUCACCCAAGCUGAGACUGCUAGACUACGCUGCUUGUUAGUACGAGCUAUAGUUAUUAUAAUGGUCUAAAAUCAGACUUCCAUUUAUGUAAUAAAGUUGGACUCGGUAGUAAUGUUGUAAGACAAGCGACCCUGGACUUGUGGGGCAAGAGUUGGAUUAUGUAAUAUUAAUAUGUAAUUCGAGUGUUGUUUUGAGCCAGAUGUUUAGUGGCGGACCAGAUCUGCGGGAUGUGGAUCUGGGGGCGUCACAGAUUUGGUAUCAGAGCUGUAGUUAUAUCCUUAGGAUUUGAGAAACCCUAGGAAUAUGACGAGCGAGAAUGAUAAGAAGUUUAAGAUGGAUGCUUUAGUUAAACCAAUCUCCGUAUGUUAUAGUAUAUACGUGCCAAGUAAACUUUUAGCAAAAGGGUUAGUAGACGCUAUAGAAAUAUAUAUUUAUAUGUAUGUAUGUAGAAGAACAUACGAACCAGUAGAGUCAAUGGACUCUAUAAAGUUAUAUGCUUAUGUAUAAACCCCGAGCAACUUUGAGUAAUUUUUGUAUAUAAUGUGUAGAUGUCAGGUUAUGAGGCUGAUUCUGAUUUUGAUCCAUUGACGAAGAUUGAGAUGAUAGAUAUCGAGUAUGAGAAUUCUCCUAUACAGAUAUUAGAGCCACUGGCACCUGAGAUCAUUAACUUAGUAUCUGAGGAGAUCAAGGAUAGAGAAUCUUUUGAGUUCACUAAGAGUGCUUGGAUAAAUAUCUUUCUAUCCUUACCUGAGAUGACUUAUGUUCCUACUUUGACCACUUCCUUUUCGAUUAACACUUCUACUGUUCCUCCACCUAUUUUUGAGAGUGAGGACCCCUCCAUUUUAGACUUGCUUCAACAUUUUGAGCUUACACCUCUUCCAUAUAGCCCUGUUACCACACAUACUUCUGAUCAUUGUCAUUUUGGGACUUUUAUGCCAUUUUUAAUUUGAAAUGCUUCUAUAACACCUUUGAGUAGUCACACCCGUGUUUACACCAUACCUGAACCUCGAUUUUGAGUUACACUCCUUGUUACCACCAUGUCAGAGACUUGUGUACCAUUUACUUUUAUAUCCACUAUUUCAGUUUCUGCACCUCGGGCCACUCUUUGUCAGAUUAGACAAUCUUUCUAUGCACCAGUUUCUGUACCAUCAGGUGGCAACCAUGUGCCACUUUCUUUGAUCCAUUAGUACCAGCUGUUGAGAGAGUCUGCUUAUGACUCUAGAUUUGGGAUUCCAGGAUCUUACGAUCCUAUGUUUGCUCUGCGGGUUCAGGAUUUCUGACCCGAGUGUUUUGUAUGGAGAUUGUGUAUAAGAAUUCUAUUUAUAUAUUAAAGGGACUCCGUACUGAUAUCAGUGAGAUACCCUCCACCAGCUCAUGAUAUGUAAAUGUUAAACUUGUUACAAUGCUGAUAAAUAGAGCCUUUUCUGAGUUCCAACAUAGGGUCUCAGAGAUAUUUGGAUGAUAGAUUUGUUUUUUUGACUUUUGAGAGAUAUAUAGUCUGUAUGUAUCUCAGUUAUAGUGUAUGAUGUAUCUAGAGGAUUUAAAGACACCAUAUAGUAUCGGAAUAGAGGAUCAUGCGCUUCUUUAGAUACAAAUGCUACAGUUUCGAUCAGUAGAUCAUUUUGGCAGUAGAGAUUUAUAUAAAGUGAUCUUUUGUAUAGUGAUGUCCAGAUUAGAUUUGAUGUAGUAGGGUGAUGACCAGAUCAGAUAUAUUUCUAUAACAUGACUUGUACCCUAGAAGUUUCGGAUAUUAUGACCAUUUUGGGAAGGAUGGUCAAUCUUGUUGUCAUAUUGGUGUCUCUUUCUUUGUCUAUACAUUCCCUAUGAUUCUUGCAGUCGUCAACUACUUUUAACCUGUUUCAUUUCUGUCACUAUCUUGCAUUUGCUACAUCAAUGGUCCAAUGUGAAAUCUUAUAGGGAAAAAAAAAGGGUAUGUGUUCAACCUUUAUAGUUUUUAAAUGUUUCUAAAAAGAGAAAUGUUCAAGUUGCUGAAGUUUUGGAGUUUUCAAAAGAAAAGAUGCAACCUUUAAAGUUUCUAAAAAAAAAAAAAAAAAUUCCAAAAAUAUGCAGCUUGUCUUUUCAACCAAAAUAGGCAACCUAUUUUCAAAAGUUUUAUACUGUGUAUUUUUCAAAACUGCGCCUUGUUGUACCUUUAGGUAAACCCUGUAUUUUGUAUAAUGAUGAAACCUAUUAAACUGUUUUGUCUACUCUUAUAGAUUAAGAUGGAUUCAAACCUGAAUGACAAUCCUGUUGAUGAAUCAAUACCAAAUGCUUCACCUGGAUUUCAACCCAGACCCAAUUCUGUUUAAUCACUUGACAACAUACCCGGAAUUUUCAAAACAAUCCUGAAAGAAGUUUUUUCGAGUCAACUUACGAAACCUACCUUUCCAAUCAAAUCUUUCAAAUUUUUGCAACCCUAAGAGUUUAAAGGGAUUAUACAUCCCGUUGAAGCCAAGAUAUGGCUAAGAGAAAUAGAAAAGAUUGUUGAAAUAGUUGGUGUAAAAGAUGAUAAGGAAAACUAUCUUUGCUACUUAAUAAAGAGGCUAAUUAUCGGUGAGAAGCUAAGCAAGUUCUAGAAGAGUCUAGUGUGAUAUCAUGGACUAGGUUUACAAAGUUAUUCCUAGAGAAGUAUAUUUUUAAACAAGAGAGUCAUAUAGAGCUCAAAUUUCAAGAAACUAAGCAAGGGAGUAUGUUAAUAGCUGAACAUGAAGCUAAGUUUGAACUUUCGAAAUUUAUUCCACAUCGAGUAAAUACGGAUGAAAAGAAAGCUAAACAUUUACAGUCGGGCUUAAAGCCCUGGAUUCAGAGUAGGGUUACCGUUCACAAGAAAUCUAGCUAUGCGACUAAGUGCACAAAACUUGUAUAGUUGAGGCAAUAAUGAGUUGUUUAACAGAGAGAUUGUCGAUAGAAAACAAAAACCCUCGCAAAACAAUCAAAAUAGAAACUCCUGUAAAACAAUCAAAAUAUAUUAAAAAAAAAAAAAGGGAAACGUUAGACUCAUGGGGUGAAGAAACCUUUUGUGAAAUAAGAGACACCGCGAGCAGAAAAUAUAGGUGAAAUAGAAGGAAAUCAAAGAUUUAGAACUUUGCAAACCGCGAACGCGUUACAAGGGAGAUCCCCGUUUCCUGAGUAGAAGAUCUGUAGAAUACGCUAUUUAUGAAUAAUAUUACAUUUCACACUAUUUCAACUCAAGUUGGCAUCAACUCUCAUCUUGAAAACUGAGAAGUUUAUUCUUUAUCUUGAGUCCUUCCUUUGUUCGGAAGUGACUGCUCCUAAUAAUCAAUAUUUCUUUGAUGUUACAAAAUCUUUUGUGAUUCAUGAUUUAAUAUUCGAGAAUUGGAAUAAAUAUAUACCACAAUGAUGAUCUCAAUCAAUCUAAUAAUUCUAAGAGAUCAUCCCAUAUUUGAUCUUAUUUCCGAUUUUAUCCACUGAAAAUCCUUGAUUUGUGAUUAAAGGAUGCAUUGCUCGCAUUCCUUGAAAGAAGUAUGUUGAGAAGUAAUCAUGGUAGAUCAGGUUGGUCCAAUUUAUGAGAUAACGAUUCAAAAGCAAAUCUUUGAGAUAAAUCUUCCUUGAUAUUUCUUCAAUCUGAUUGGGAUGAACAACCCUAAUUAUAGGGGACACAAGGUAUUCCUGUCUGUGUGAUAGGAGUUGGAUGGGACGCCAUCACUUGUGUGUGUUGUAAUUACAAGAAGGUUAACAACCUUUAGUAGUGUCUUAAUUUGGACACGCAACACUUAGUUCAUUUGAUCAAAUUAUUCUCCCAGUCAUUCCUUUAAUUCGAAUGAAAGCUAGUUUGAAAAAUCAUUGAUCGAUGAUAUACCACUGUGAAAGACUUCCAAUAUAUCCAAGAAAGUUUUAUAAUUCUUAUUUCUUUUGAGUUCUCUUCAAAAUGCUCAGAUUUCAAAUUUUGUGAUUUUGUUCUUUUCAAAAAUACAAUUUUCUUUUAAAAGUGUUUCAAGAAGGACUUAUAUGGAGACAUCAAAUCCAGACCCUCGAAUUUGAGGAUUGUUACAUCGAUUAUCGAGAGUUAAAUAAGUCGACCCUUUACCUAGGGUUGAUGAUUUGUUUAAUCAAUUAAAGAGAGCAUCUUACUUUUUAAGAUUAACUUGAGAUCUGUAUAGCAUCAGCUAAAGAAUUGGGUCUGAGAAUGUACUAAGACGGCUUUUGGGACCUGAUAUGGACAUUAUGAGUUCUUAGUGAUGUCAUUUGGAUUGGGUAAUGCCCCUGAAACUUUUAUAGAUAUUAUGAAUAGAAUAUUUAAGAAAUAUUUUGAUAAAGUUCAUUAUUAUUUAUCAAUGAUGUUUUGAUUUAUUCAAAGACAAAAGAAGAGCAUGUAUCUUAGGAUAACUUGGAAAUUUUGAGGAAAGAAAAGUUAUAUGCAAAAUUUUUGAAAUUUUGAUAAAGCAAGUACAGUAAUUAGGGCAUAUAGUUUCCAAGAACGAAAAAUUGGUAGACCCCGCAAAGAUUGAGGCAAAUAUCAAAUUGAUAAAAAACUAAGGACCCAAUAGAAGUGGGAAGUCUCUUGGAUUAGCAGGAUAUUAUAAAAGAUUCGUAAAAGAUUUCUCCAAGGUUGCGAUUUAUUUGACCAAGUUGACUAGGAAAGAUAAGAAGUUUGAAUGGACCUUAAGUGCAAAGAGAAUUUUCAGGAAUUAAAGAAGCGACUUAAAUGGCCCUUAUGUUAACUCUACCUGACGAGACAUGAAAUUUUAUGAUCUAUAGUGAUUUAUCUCAUAAGGGACUAGGAUGUGUUCUUAUGCAAUAUGGAAAAGGUGAUAGCAUAUGCUUCAAGACAACUUAUGGAUUACAAGUUGAGAUACCCUGCCCAUGACCUAGAGUUAGGUACUAUAGUAUUUGCCUUAAAGAUUUGGUGACAUUACUUGUAUGAUAAGAAAUGUGAGAUAUUCACGGAUCAUAAGAGUUAAAAUACUUGUUUACUCAGAAAGAGCUGAAUUUGAGACAAAAAGAAACGGUUAGAAUUAAUAAAAGAGUAUGAUUGUACGAUUAACUAUCACCUAUGAAAAGCGAAUGUAAUUGCUGAUGCAUUAAGUUGGAAAGAAAAAAAUUUAAUAUGAUGUCUUUACCAAAAGAGUUGAUUAAGGGAUUGAAAGUUAAGGAUCAAAGCAUAAGGACGGAAGGAUUUACGAGAUGUUAGUACCACCAGAGUUACUAGAAAGGAAAAAAAAAGAGUCAAGAACUAAUGACUGAAGAGAGAUAUUCUGAAUUGACAGGCGAUGAAUACUUAAGUCUUAAAGAUGAAAAAAGAAUUAGGAGAUUUGCUAAUAGAAUUUGGAUUCCUAACAUAAUAGAUCUUAAACGAGAUAUUUUGAGUGAAGCUCACGAGUCAAGGUAUUCUAUACACCCAGGAAGCACUAAGAUGUACCAAGAUUUGAAGAGAAACUAUUGGUGGCCUAAUAUAAAAAAAAAUGAUUCGUUGAUUGGGUAAGUAGAUGUUUGACUUGUCAGAAAGUGAAAAUUGAGCAUCAAUGACCUAAUGGAUUGUUGCAACCAUUAGAUAUCCCAGAAUGAAAAUGUGAACACAUCACCAUGGAUUUCAUAGUAGCUUUACCAAGGACUAGAACUAAUCAAGACACUAUUUGGAUAAUCAUGGAUAGAUUGACAAAAUCUGCUUAUUUUCUUCAUAUUAGUGAGAAAUAUAUCCCUGAAAGAUUAGUAAAAUAUAUAUAUGAAUGAAGUCGUGUUGAAACAUGGAGUACUAGUAUAAAUUUUGUCGGAUAGAGAUGCAAGAUUUACAUCGAGAAUUUUGGCAAGCAUUUCAAGAAUUAAUGUUUUGGAACUAAGCCUAACCUGAGCACUGAGUAUCACCCUCAGACUGAUGGACAAAGUAAAAGAACUAUUCAGACUAUAGAAGAUAUGUUAAGAGCUUGUUCUUUGGAUUUUAAAGGAAGUUGGGAUGAUUACUUACCUUUAGUAGAGUUUGCGACAACAAUAGCUAUCACUCUAGCAUAGGAAUGACACCUUAUGAAGCAUUAUAUGGCAGACAGUGUAGAUCACCUCUUAUGUGGGAUGAAGUUGGAGAUAAAAGAUUAUAGGGCCGGAACUAGUUCAACACACUAAACAAUCAAUUGAAAAGAUACGAAAGAGACUAGUUGCAGCUCUGGAUAGACAAAAGAAAUAUGCAAAGUUAGAAAGAGAAGAGAAAGAAUUUGAUAUAGGAAAAAAAAUGCUUUUAAAAGUGUCGCCUUGGAAAGGAGUAAUUAGAUUCGGGAAGAGAAGUAAGUUAUAUAGGGUCAUUUGAAAUAUUAGAGAAAGUUAGAGCUGUUUCUUAAUAAUUAGCUUUACCCCCAGAUUUACAACAUAUUCACGACGUAUUGAGAGCUUACAAAACUGAUAAUUGUCAUGUUCUGAAUUGUGAGCCAAUAAAUAUCCAAUCGGACCGAACGUACGAAGCGAAACCAGUAGAGAUUGUAGAUUCAAAGAUUCAAGAACUAAGAAAUAAGAAAGUGAAGUUAGAAGAGGAUGUCACAUGGAGUGAGAAAACGAAAUGAGAAAGAAAUAUUCGGAAUUGUUUCAGCACCAAAUAUGAUUCCGAGGUCGGAAUCCUUUAAAGGAGGGAAGAAUGUAACAACCGAAAUAUUUACCAGUACCAAAAGCGUAAAAAUUAUUUUAUUUAAUUUCCAAUGUCAGAAAUAUUAAGUUAAACUCUAAAGUGUAUUAUUGUGCGGUACAUAAUAUUUGAUGUUGGCCAGUGAUUUAAUUAGAUGCGUGCGUCAACAAUAUGAAUAUUCAUGAAUAUGAGUAAUAGACACGAAAUUUUAAUAAAAUUUCAUGACUCAUUAAUAUUAUACUCACUGGUACACAAAAUAGUUGACAAGCUUAAUUAAUUAUCGAGUAGAAAGAGCUACAAUAUUAUUCUCUAAUUUAAUUUAUAAAAUAUUAAAACAUUGUAGUUGAGAAAAGAUUUGAGAAAACACGAGGUGUUAUAUUGUGCGGGUCCGAUAUUUAGAUUGAACACGAGAGUUUUGUUUAUACAAGAAUAUAGUAGUCUCGGAUAUCUAUUUAUAUACUGACCGGUGAAUAAUCUACAUUCUAGUCGAAAUAAUUUAUUUAUAUAUAUUUGGAAUUUAUCAGAAAUAUUAAAAUAAAUAAUAGUUGAUUUAUUUAUUCUUUUUGUAAAAUAUUUAAAUAUUUAAAUAUUUGUCGGACAAAAACCGAAACGAGAAUAAACGAGCCAAGCCGUGGAAUAUUUUUAACGUAGCGGGACUUGAGCCCAAGUUUCGAAACUUGGAGCCCGAGGCUACUGAGUAACGCCCAAGAAAAAUUGUGUAGCCUCCAAGUAAACAAAUAAAUUAAAAGUGAUUAGUGGAGUAUUAGCAAGUGCUAAAGUAUGAUUAAAUACUAAUGGUAAUUAGUAAAUGUUGUAUAAAUAGCAAGGAAAUUAGUCAGUACUUCUUUUAUCAAAACAAAAGCAAUACGGAGGUAUUGGCGAUUUGACCAGAAGAGAAUCAAAUCUGCAAAAUCUAUUUUAAGAAUAUUUAUUGCCUGGAAAGGCGAAGCCUGAUUAUACGUGAUAAAUUGGAAUAUUAUCAAGCUAAGGAUGUCAGUAAAUAGUGAAUAUGGCACAACUCAAGAGAACCGCCCGGAAAUGGGUUUUUGGCAAAGGCAGGGAAAAGGCGCAUCACCCAAGCUGAGACUGCUAGACUACGCUGCUUGUUAGUACGAGCUAUAGUUAUUAUAAUGGUCUAAAAUCAGACUUCCAUUUAUGUAAUAAAGUUGGACUCGGUAGUAAUGUUGUAAGACAAGCGACCCUGGACUUGUGGGGCAAGAGUUGGAUUAUGUAAUAUUAAUAUGUAAUUCGAGUGUUGUUUUGAGCCA
Daucus carota subsp. sativus is the source of this 8848-nucleotide long non-coding RNA. RefSeq lists it as uncharacterized. The record is from RefSeq and is a predicted model, not a curated record. Lineage: Eukaryota; Viridiplantae; Streptophyta; Magnoliopsida; Apiales; Apiaceae. The transcript has 5 exons.